ACGAACGCUGGCGGCGUGCUUAACACAUGCAAGUCGAACGGAGAUUUAGCAAUAGAAUCUUAGUGGCGAACGGGUGAGUAACGCGUAGGCAAUCUGCCUUCUAGAUGGGGACAACAUCCCGAAAGGGGUGCUAAUACCGAAUGUUGUAGUUGGUCUGCAUGGACUAGCUACUAAAGGUGGCCUCUGAAUAUGCUACCGCUAGAAGAUGAGCCUGCGUCUGAUUAGCUAGUGGAGGGGUAACGGCCACCAAGGCAACGAUCAGUAGCCGGUCUGAGAGGAUGAACGGCCACACUGGGACUGAGACACGGCCCAGACUCCUACGGGAGGCAGCAGUGGGGAAUCUUCCGCAAUGGACGAAAGUCUGACGGAGCAACGCCGCGUGAGUGAAGAAGGUUUUCGGAUCGUAAAGCUCUUUCGUUAGGGACGAACGUGCUCUUUGUGAAUAAUGAGGAGUAAUGACGGUACCUAAAUAAGAAGCCACGGCUAACUACGUGCCAGCAGCGGC
Molecule: ribosomal RNA, 505 nt
Filed under: uncultured bacterium
Lineage: Bacteria
Description: bacterial SSU rRNA
Rfam family: Bacterial small subunit ribosomal RNA
Source: RNAcentral